GGCCCACGUCUACACCGCACACCUCAUGGGAGGGCCCGCGUCUACAGCGCAUGCCUCACGGGAGGGCCGGCAUCUACACCGCACGCCUCACGGGAGGGCCCGCGUCUACACCGCAUGCCUCACGGGAGGGCCCGCGUCUACACCGCAUGCCUCACGGGAGGGCCGGCGUCUAGACCACACGCCUCAUCCCUCACGGGAGGGUCCGCGUCUACACCGCACACCUCAUGGGAGGGCCCGCGUCUACACCACAUGCCUCAUCACUCACGGGAGGGCUGGCGUCUACAUCAUACGCCUUAUCCCUCACGGGAGGGCCGGCGUCUACACCGCAUGCCUCACGGGAGGGCCCGCAUCUACACCAUAUGCCUCAUCCGUCACGGGAGGGCCGGCGUCUAGACCACACGCCUCAUCCCUCACGGGAGGGUCCGCGUCUACACCGCACACCUCAUGGGAGGGCCCACGUCUACACCACAUGCCUCAUCACUCACGGGAGGGCCGGCGUCUACACCAUACGCCUCAUCCCUCAUGGGAGGGCCCGCGUCUACACUGCACACCUCAUGGGAGGGCCCGCGUCUACACCACAUGCCUCAUCCCUCACGGGAGGGCCGGCGUCUACACCGCACACCUCAUCGCUCACGGGAGGGUCCGCGUCUGCAGCGUCCACACCGCACACCUCACGGGAGGGCCGGCGUCUACACCGCGCGCCUCGUGUCUUCCCACCCGCAGGACGUGGUGAACACGCACCCGGGGCUGUCGUUCCUGAAGGAGGCGUCCGAGUUUCACUCGCGCUACAUCACCACGGUCAUCCAGCGGAUCUUCUACGCGGUGAACCGGUCCUGGUCCGGCAGGAUCACCUGUGCCGAGCUGCGGAGGAGCUCCUUCCUGCAGGUGCGGAGCGGCCCCCUGCCCCCUGCCCCCUGCCCCCUGCCUUGUCCCUACCCCUC
RNAcentral lists this long non-coding RNA (941 nucleotides) under Pan troglodytes (chimpanzee). RNAcentral describes it as "lncRNA (ENSPTRG00000054438.1)". The record is from RNAcentral. Lineage: Eukaryota; Metazoa; Chordata; Mammalia; Primates; Hominidae.